CAGUAGCCGCGGGAAUACGAAGGGGGCUAGCGUUGCUCGGAAUGACUGGGCGUAAAGGGCGCGUAGGCGGCGAUCAAAGUCAGGCGUGAAAUUCCUGGGCUCAACCUGGGGGCUGCGCUUGAUACUUGGUUGCUUGAGUGGGGAAGAGGCUCGUGGAAUUCCCAGUGUAGAGGUGAAAUUCGUAGAUAUUGGGAAGAACACCGGUGGCGAAGGCGGCGACCUGGUCCUUGACUGACGCUGAGGCGCGAAAGCGUGGGGAGCAAACAGGAUUAGAGACCCGCGUAGUCCCUGUCUCUUAUAC
RNAcentral lists this ribosomal RNA (301 nucleotides) under uncultured bacterium. RNAcentral describes it as "partial 16S ribosomal RNA". It matches the Rfam family "Bacterial small subunit ribosomal RNA", at positions 509 to 807 of the family's 1533-position model. The record is from RNAcentral.